RNAcentral lists this ribosomal RNA (796 nucleotides) under uncultured bacterium. RNAcentral describes it as "bacterial SSU rRNA". It matches the Rfam family "Bacterial small subunit ribosomal RNA", at positions 135 to 942 of the family's 1533-position model. The record is from RNAcentral.
ACACCGGAAUAACAGUGGGAAACCGCUGCUAAUGCCGGAUACUCCAACUCCACCGCAUGGCGGAGUUGGGAAAGGUCCGCCGGUCCGGGAUGGUCUCGCGGCCUAUCAGCUUGUUGGUGGGGUAACGGCCUACCAAGGCAACGACGGGUAGCUGGCGUGAGAGCGUGGCCAGCCACACUGGGACUGAGAUACGGCCCAGACUCCUACGGGAGGCAGCAGUGGGGAAUCUUGCACAAUGGGCGAAAGCCUGAUGCAGCGACGCCGCGUGAGGGAUGAAGGCCCUAGGGUUGUAAACCUCUUUCAGCAGGGACGAAGCGAAAGUGACGGUACCUGCAGAAGAAGCCCCGGCUAACUACGUGCCAGCAGCCGCGGUAAUACGUAGGGGGCGAGCGUUGUCCGGAUUUAUUGGGCGUAAAGAGCGCGUAGGUGGUUCGUAAAGUCGGAAGUGAAAUUCCAGGGCUCAACCCUGGGACGCCUUUCGAUACUUGCGAACUAGAGCACGGUAGGGGGAUCUGGAAUUCCUGGUGUAGCGGUGAAAUGCGCAGAUAUCAGGAGGAACACCGGUGGCGAAGGCGGGAUCCUGGGCCGUUGCUGACACUGAGGCGCGAAAGCUGGGGGAGCGAACAGGAUUAGAUACCCUGGUAGUCCCAGCCGUAAACGAUGGGUGCUAGGUGUGGGAGGCUAUCGACGUCUUCCGUGCCGCAGCUAACGCAUUAAGCACCCCGCCUGGGGAGUACGGCCGCAAGGCUAAAACUCAAAGGAAUUGACGGGGGCCCGCACAAGCGGCGGAGCAUGU